AUCAGCCGCGGUAAUACCAGCUCCAAUAGCGUAUAUUAAAGUUGUUGCAGUUAGAAAGCUCGUAGUUGAAUUUCGGGAUUAUCACGUUGGUCGUGCCUUCGGUACGUACUGGUGUCACUGAUUCCUACCUUCUGAAGAACCAUCAUGUCAUUAAUUUGGUGUGGCGGGGAAUCAGGACUGUUACUUUGAAAAAAUUAGAGUGUUUAAAGCAGGCUCGCGCUUGAAUACAUUAGUCAUGGAAUAAUGAAAUAGGACGUUGACCCUAUUUUGUUGGUUUCUAGGAUUGACGUAAUGAUUAAUAGGGAUAUUUGGGGGCAUUAGUAUUCAAAUUGUCAGAGUGAAAUUCUUGGAUUUAUUGAAGACUGACUAUCUGCGAAAGCAUUUGCCAAGGAUGUUUUCAUAUAAUCAGGAACGAAAGUUAGGGGAUCGAAGACGAUCAGAUACCGUCGUAGUCUUAACCAUAAACUAUGCCGACACUAGGGAUCGGACGGUGUUAUUUGUUUGACCCG
RNAcentral lists this ribosomal RNA (509 nucleotides) under Glomus sp. Glo10. RNAcentral's name for it is "SSU rRNA". It matches the Rfam family "Eukaryotic small subunit ribosomal RNA", at positions 569 to 1078 of the family's 1831-position model. The record is from RNAcentral. Lineage: Eukaryota; Fungi; Glomeromycota; Glomeromycetes; Glomerales; Glomeraceae.